CUCGUAGGCGGCCAACUAAGUCCGACGUGAAAUCCCCAGGCUCAACCUGGGAACUGCGUCGGAUACUGGAUGGCUUGAAUUCGGGAGAGGGAUGCAGAAUUCCAGGUGUAGCGGUGAAAUGCGUAGAUAUCUGGAGGAAUACCGGUGGCGAAGGCGGCAUCCUGGACCGACAUUGACGCUGAGGAGAGAAAGCGUAGGGGAGACGAAACG
RNAcentral lists this ribosomal RNA (210 nucleotides) under uncultured bacterium. Its description in RNAcentral is "partial 16S ribosomal RNA". It matches the Rfam family "Bacterial small subunit ribosomal RNA", at positions 568 to 775 of the family's 1533-position model. The record is from RNAcentral.